Molecule: long non-coding RNA, 903 nt
Organism: Mustela erminea (ermine)
Lineage: Eukaryota; Metazoa; Chordata; Mammalia; Carnivora; Mustelidae
Exons: 3
Source: RefSeq, a predicted model, not a curated record
GAAGGAGGGAGAACGCCGCGGUUCCGCCUUAGUGCGCGUGCGCAUUUGUGGGGCGGCCCCUCUGUGGGUGUAUAACACCGAGGCAGAGAGGGCGGUUACUGGGAUAAGCGGGUUCGAAUCCCGCCUCUUCAGUGGCCUAGGCUGGGUUCAGUGGGGGUGGGGCGGAGGGGAGGAAUUUCAAGGUCCUGGGCCGAUAAAUGAGAACACAGGAAUGCAUUGAAACUGGCGUGAGCGCUGGAGGCUUCCCGCUUUGUGAUGGGAGGCAGAUGAAAUCACACAUGGAAAGGACCCAGGUCCGGUUGGACCUUGAAGCACGGCCGAGAGCACCCCAAGCACAGGGAAAGGUUUAGACGGUCUCGCAUUCAGAGAUCCCCCGGGGUGGAAGGUGAGGCAGCACCGAUGGGCAGCUCAGAUUCUGAAGGGAUUUCGGGGCAGGGUCUGUUGGGAGAUGGGGACUGUGGGGAACCUUGGCGGCCGCAGCAGAGCAGGAGCCCAGGACUAAAGGUCGAAUAUUCAAGACUAGCCCGUGGCAGAAGCCCGUGCGCGCGGCCCGCGGAGAGCGCAUGCGCAGCGUCUCAGCGCGGGCGGGAGGUUACCGGGGAGGAAAGUUCGCUCCAGAGGAGAAUGCAGAAAAUGAGUCCGAAAGAGAAGAUCCUUACAGAAGUCCACUAGCCAGGAAGCAGCAGGGCCUGGAUUCAAAUGCAAGCCUGUCUCACCACAGAGAAAGCCCACAUUUUUCCCCCUGACAACCGGCAGCCUGCCUAGUGAUAGGCAGAGCAGAAGAGAAAGAGUAGCAUCAUCUCCAAGGCCAUCUCCUAGUCCUUUGGCCACAAGAGGUGCUAUCUACAGGCACCAUUUCUCCAGGAUGUUUUUCUGCCCGAGUCCCAGCUGCCUCACCAGCUA